RNAcentral lists this ribosomal RNA (341 nucleotides) under Grubea cochlear. RNAcentral describes it as "eukaryotic LSU rRNA". It matches the Rfam family "Eukaryotic large subunit ribosomal RNA", at positions 38 to 363 of the family's 3401-position model. Lineage: Eukaryota; Metazoa; Platyhelminthes; Monogenea; Mazocraeidea; Diclidophoridae. The record is from RNAcentral.
GCAUAUCAAUAAGCGGAGGAAAAGAAACUAACCAGGAUUCCCCUAGUAACGGCGAGUGAACAGGGAUUAGCCCAGCACCGAAGCCUGCGUCCGUUUGGGCGUUGGGCAAUGUGGUGUUUAGGUUAGUGCUCUCAAGUGCUGUUCCAUUCCAAGUCCAAUAUUGAAUAUGGCUUUAAAUUGGCCCAUAGAGGGUGAAAGGCCCGUAGCGGACGGAGUGGCUCUUGACUGUGCUGACUGUGGAGUCGGGUUGUUUGAGAAUGCAGCCCAAAGUUGGUGGUAAACUCCAUCUAAGGCUAAAUACUGGCACGAGUCCGAUAGCGAACAAGUACCGUAAGGGGAAA